RNAcentral lists this ribosomal RNA (253 nucleotides) under uncultured bacterium. RNAcentral describes it as "partial 16S ribosomal RNA". It matches the Rfam family "Bacterial small subunit ribosomal RNA", at positions 524 to 776 of the family's 1533-position model. The record is from RNAcentral.
UACAGAGGGUGCAAGCGUUAAUCGGAAUUACUGGGCGUAAAGCGCACGUAGGUGGUUUUGUAAGUUGAAUGUGAAAGCCCCGGGCUUAACCUGGGAAUUGCAUCCAAAACUGCACGACUAGAGUAUGGGAGAGGGAGGUAGAAUUCCAGGUGUAGCGGUGAAAUGCGUAGAGAUCUGGAGGAAUACCGGUGGCGAAGGCGGCCUCCUGGCCUAAUACUGACACUGAGGUGCGAAAGCGUGGGUAGCAAACAGG